This 463-nucleotide ribosomal RNA is filed under the name uncultured bacterium. RNAcentral's name for it is "partial 16S ribosomal RNA". It matches the Rfam family "Bacterial small subunit ribosomal RNA", at positions 28 to 507 of the family's 1533-position model. The record is from RNAcentral.
GAUGAACGCUGACAGAAUGCUUAACACAUGCAAGUCGAUGGGGAAGUGGUGCUUGCACCAUGGCAACCAUGGCGGACGGGUGAGUAACGCGUAAGGGACUUACCUGCAGGACUGGGAUAACAGGGGGAAACUCCUGACAAGACCGGAUAAUGUCAUGGAGCUGCAUGGCUUUAUGAUGAAAGGAGACGCCUGCGGAGAGCCUUGCGUCCUAUCAGCUAGUUGGUGAGGUAAUGGCUCACCAAGGCGAAGAUAGGUAGCCGGCCUGAGAGGGUGGACGGCCACAAGGGGACUGAGAUACGGCCCUUACUCCUACGGGAGGCAGCAGUGGGGAAUAUUGGACAAUGGGGGCAACCCUGAUCCAGCAAUUCUGUGUGCACGAAGAAGGUUUUCGGAUUGUAAAGUGCUUUCAGCAGGGAAGAAGUAAGUGACGGUACCUGCAGAAGAAGCGACGGCUAAAUACGUG